GGUUCUGAGUAAUCGCGGUUAAUUUUAAUUAACUGAGGAAAGUCCACUCUCGCACAAACUGAGAUGUUUGUAGUGUUCGUGCUCGGCGAAAAAAUAAGCCGGGGGAUUAAUUUUAAAUUAGUUACGGCGGAAAAAUUAACUAAAGUUUUAACCAAGUUAUAGUAUUCCUUAAAAGUGCCACAGAAACGAACGUUUAAAAGAAAUUUUAACGAUGGAACGCGGUAAACCCCACGAGCGGGAAACCCAAACUUUGGUAGGGGAGCUUCACAUAGGGAAUUGAACUGAUUGUGAGGGAAGAAGUUAUUACUUCUUGAGAUAGAUGAUUACUACUUAUUAUAUAAUUUCCUGAAAUUUAUAAUAAGCACAAAACAUGGCUUACAGGA
Molecule: RNase P RNA, 383 nt
Filed under: Lactobacillus sp. S2-2
Lineage: Bacteria; Bacillati; Bacillota; Bacilli; Lactobacillales; Lactobacillaceae
Description: RNase P RNA component class B
Rfam family: Bacterial RNase P class B
About the family: Ribonuclease P (RNase P) is a ubiquitous endoribonuclease, found in archaea, bacteria and eukarya as well as chloroplasts and mitochondria. Its best characterised activity is the generation of mature 5'-ends of tRNAs by cleaving the 5'-leader elements of precursor-tRNAs. Cellular RNase Ps are ribonucleoproteins.
Source: RNAcentral